AUUGAACGCUGGCGGCAUGCCUUACACAUGCAAGUCGAACGGCAGCACGGGUGCUUGCACCUGGUGGCGAGUGGCGAACGGGUGAGUAAUACAUCGGAACAUGUCCUGUAGUGGGGGAUAGCCCGGCGAAAGCCGGAUUAAUACCGCAUACGAUCUACGGAUGAAAGCGGGGGACCUUCGGGCCUCGCGCUAUAGGGUUGGCCGACGGCUGAUUAGCUAGUUGGUGGGGUAAAGGCCUACCAAAGCGACGAUCAGUAGCUGGUCUGAGAGGACGACCAGCCACACUGGGACUGAGACACGGCCCAGACUCCUACGGGAGGCAGCAGUGGGGAAUUUUGGACAAUGGGCGAAAGCCUGAUCCAGCAAUGCCGCGUGUGUGAAGAAGGCCUUCGGGUUGUAAAGCACUUUUGUCCGGAAAGAAAUCCUUGGCCCUAAUACGGUCGGGGGAUGACGGUACCGGAAGAAUAAGCACCGGCUAACUACGUG
This 486-nucleotide ribosomal RNA is filed under the name uncultured bacterium. RNAcentral's name for it is "partial 16S ribosomal RNA". It matches the Rfam family "Bacterial small subunit ribosomal RNA", at positions 30 to 507 of the family's 1533-position model. The record is from RNAcentral.